Molecule: ribosomal RNA, 423 nt
Filed under: uncultured bacterium
Lineage: Bacteria
Description: bacterial SSU rRNA
Rfam family: Bacterial small subunit ribosomal RNA
Source: RNAcentral
GGAAUAUUGGGCGAUGGGCGCAAGCCUGACCCAGCCACGCCGCGUGAGUGAUGAAGGCCUUCGGGUCGUAAAGCUCUGUGGGGAGGGAAGAAAAGCUACGGGUUAAUACCCCGGAGUUUUGACGGUACCUCCUUAGCAAGCACCGGCUAACCACCUGCCAGCAGCCGCGGUAAUACGUGGGGUGCAAACGUUGCUCGGAAUUAUUGGGCGUAAAGCGAACGUAGGCGGCUAUCUAAGUCGCAUGUGAAAGCCCCAGGCUUAACCUGGGAAGUGCAUGCGAUACUGGAUAGCUUGAGUACUAGAGGGGGUCGCGGAAUUCCCGGUGUAGAGGUGAAAUUCGUAGAUAACGGGAGGAACACCAGUGGCGAAGGCGGCGACCUGGAUAGAUACUGACGCUGAGGUGCGAAAGCGUGGGGAGCAAAC